RNAcentral lists this ribosomal RNA (468 nucleotides) under Triticum aestivum (bread wheat). Its description in RNAcentral is "partial small subunit ribosomal RNA". Lineage: Eukaryota; Viridiplantae; Streptophyta; Magnoliopsida; Poales; Poaceae. The record is from RNAcentral.
AUGGCGCACGAUCUCAAAAUUUGGGCAACGUCUCUCUUCAGCGAUGCAAAGAUUCAGUUUCAGUUGGCCUGCGAAGUAAUCCUAAGACUCGAUAUUGCUCAAGAAAAAAGAGGUCUGACGCAACAAGAAUUCUGGCUAAGGAAACAGUUGAAACUUCGUACCCUUGGAUUGGCUGUAGUAGAAAGAGCAAGGAAAAGACAGGCUUCAAGGAUUACCUGGCUCAAGGCGGGAGAUGCAAGAAUGGCCUUCUUCCAAGCAAAGAUCAACUCUAGAAGGAGAAAGAACUUCAUUCACUCACUGCAAACAGAAACAAGGACAUCCACUGCGCACGAAGAAAAGAAAGAAAUUGCUCACGAUCAUUUUGCAAACCUGCUGGGGAAAAAGGAGGAUAGGCAAUGCACCAUCAACUAGGAGGAAUUGGAUAUGCCAAGUAUUCAUAACGAGGGGCUGGAUAAUCCUUUCUCGGAG